RNAcentral lists this ribosomal RNA (253 nucleotides) under uncultured bacterium. RNAcentral describes it as "partial 16S ribosomal RNA". It matches the Rfam family "Bacterial small subunit ribosomal RNA", at positions 524 to 776 of the family's 1533-position model. The record is from RNAcentral.
UACGUAGGGUGCAAGCGUUAAUCGGAAUUACUGGGCGUAAAGCGUGCGCAGGCGGUUAUGCAAGACAGAUGGGAAAUCCCCGGGCUCAACCUGGGAACUGCAUUUGUGACUGCAUGGCUAGAGUGCGGCAGAGGGGGAUGGAAUUCCGCGUGUAGCAGCGAAAUGCGUAGAUAUGCGGAGGAACACCGAUGGCGAAGGCAAUCCCCUGGGCCUGCACUGACGCUCAUGCACGAAAGCGUGGGGAGCAAACAGG